This 1540-nucleotide ribosomal RNA is filed under the name uncultured Staphylococcus sp. RNAcentral describes it as "bacterial SSU rRNA". It matches the Rfam family "Bacterial small subunit ribosomal RNA". Lineage: Bacteria; Bacillati; Bacillota; Bacilli; Caryophanales; Staphylococcaceae. The record is from RNAcentral.
AUGGGAGAGUUUGAUCCUGGCUCAGGACGAACGCUGGCGGCGUGCCUAAUACAUGCAAGUAGAACGCUGAAGAGAGGAGCUUGCUCUUCUUGGAUGAGUUGCGAACGGGUGAGUAACGCGUAGGUAACCUGCCUUGUAGCGGGGGAUAACUAUUGGAAACGAUAGCUAAUACCGCAUAACAAUGGAUGACACAUGUCAUUUAUUUGAAAGGGGCAAUUGCUCCACUACAAGAUGGACCUGCGUUGUAUUAGCUAGUAGGUGAGGUAACGGCUCACCUAGGCGACGAUACAUAGCCGACCUGAGAGGGUGAUCGGCCACACUGGGACUGAGACACGGCCCAGACUCCUACGGGAGGCAGCAGUAGGGAAUCUUCGGCAAUGGGGGCAACCCUGACCGAGCAACGCCGCGUGAGUGAAGAAGGUUUUCGGAUCGUAAAGCUCUGUUGUAAGUCAAGAACGAGUGUGAGAGUGGAAAGUUCACACUGUGACGGUAGCUUACCAGAAAGGGACGGCUAAGUACGUGCCAGCAGCCGCGGUAAUACGUAGGUCCCGAGCGUUGUCCGGAUUUAUUGGGCGUAAAGCGAGCGCAGGCGGUUUCAUAAGUCUGAAGUUAAAGGCUGUGGCUCAACCAUAGUUCGCUUUGGAAACUGUCAAACUUGAGUGCAGAAGGGGAGAGUGGAAUUCCAUGUGUAGCGGUGAAAUGCGUAGAUAUAUGGAGGAACACCGGAGGCGAAAGCGGCUCUCUGGUCUGUAACUGACGCUGAGGCUCGAAAGCGUGGGGAGCGAACAGGAUUAGAUACCCUGGUAGUCCACGCCGUAAACGAUGAGUGCUAGGUGUUGGAUCCUUUCCGGGAUUCAGUGCCGCAGCUAACGGAUUAAGCACUCCGCCUGGGGAGUACGACCGCAAGGUUGAAACUCAAAGGAAUUGACGGGGGCCCGCACAAGCGGUGGAGCAUGUGGUUUAAUUCGAAGCAACGCGAAGAACCUUACCAGGUCUUGACAUCCCGAUGCUAUUUCUAGAGAUAGAAAGUUACUUCGGUACAUCGGUGACAGGUGGUGCAUGGUUGUCGUCAGCUCGUGUCGUGAGAUGUUGGGUUAAGUCCCGCAACGAGCGCAACCCCUAUUGUUAGUUGCCAUCAUUCAGUUGGGCACUCUAGCGAGACUGCCGGUAAUAAACCGGAGGAAGGUGGGGAUGACGUCAAAUCAUCAUGCCCCUUAUGACCUGGGCUACACACGUGCUACAAUGGUUGGUACAACGAGUUGCGAGUCGGUGACGGCAAGCUAAUCUCUUAAAGCCAAUCUCAGUUCGGAUUGUAGGCUGCAACUCGCCUACAUGAAGUCGGAAUCGCUAGUAAUCGCGGAUCAGCACGCCGCGGUGAAUACGUUCCCGGGCCUUGUACACACCGCCCGUCACACCACGAGAGUUUGUAACACCCGAAGUCGGUGAGGUAACCUUUUGGAGCCAGCCGCCUAAGGUGGGAUAGAUGAUUGGGGUGAAGUCGUAACAAGGUAGCCGUAUCGGAAGGUGCGGCUGGAUCACU